Molecule: transfer RNA, 65 nt
Filed under: Diaphanoeca grandis
Lineage: Eukaryota; Choanoflagellata; Acanthoecida; Stephanoecidae
Source: RNAcentral
CUUGAGGUCAUUGUGCUGCAGUCAGGGAUUGGUAAGGUCAAUGCCGCAGUAGGCACGGCUAUUUU